AAUAUUCAUUUCCACGCUCAUCUUCAACGAUCUAGCAAACCUGGUUGUAAAACAAACUCCACCUUAAUCACAG
Non-coding RNA from Pangasianodon gigas (Mekong giant catfish), 73 nucleotides. NCBI's taxonomy places the organism in Eukaryota, Metazoa, Chordata, Actinopteri, Siluriformes, Pangasiidae. The record is from the annotation of a GenBank genome assembly.